This 1116-nucleotide long non-coding RNA is filed under the name Nicotiana tabacum (common tobacco). RNAcentral describes it as "long non-coding RNA (NTAB_LNC013039)". The record is from RNAcentral. Lineage: Eukaryota; Viridiplantae; Streptophyta; Magnoliopsida; Solanales; Solanaceae.
CCUGAUCAUGGAAGGAGUCUGAGCCCAUUUUCGAACAAACUGAAUUAUUAGCAUUACGUGAAACUUAGCCAAUGACAAUGAAACAGAGCUAAUAAAAAAAUCUCACACCAUUACACAAGCUUUGUGAUUUGUUGAACCAUACUCAUCAUUUGAAUCACAAUUCUCAAAAAAAUGCAAAUGUCACACGUGAACUCCACAAGACAAAAUGCCAGGAGUUCGUGACACAAUGUUCAAAUCCUGAAGGCAGAACUAAGCUAAAAAUAAACCCAUUUAAGCUAAAUCACAUCUUAACAAUUGCCAAAGGCAAACAAAACAUUAAUAAUAUUGAGACUUGCUACCCCAAUCCAGCAAAACUAUGACAUUGAGCGAUCCAUUUAAAAGCUACAGAAAUUGUCUUUAGCAUAUGGCCCAAAAAUCGAAUCCACUGCACUCACUCAAACCCAUAUACUAACCUUAAAACAAACAAGUAAUAUCAACAGCUACAUUUGACGGCCAAACCAAGGCAGACAUUAUCUAACAUAUGAUGUUCAGAACUCAGAUUUGAAUUACAGAUUAUAGCUUGAAGGGUAGUAAAUGCAAUUCUCUAAAUAAAAUGAAACGGGCAAAUAAGCUAAUCUGCGACCAAACUUAUUGAAGAAUACGAAUCAAAGUUCCAGAUCUCCAUUUCUUGAUUCCAAAUCAACUUUACACUUAGAGGGAAUGUAGAAGUGUACCUGAGAUUGAGAGAACAAAGAAAUAAAGAGGGAUCAGCAGUGUUAACAACAGGGAUCAACAACAGCAACAACAAUAGAGCCCAGCAAAACAGAAAGUGAACCAACAGACCAAUUUUUAAACUAGCAGAUAAGAUACAAUAAUCCAAACACUAAUUUAAGUCACUCGAUGGACCAUCAGACCUCAAGACAAACUCGACUUCAACCCAUAUUAAAACCAGCUAACCAGAAAAUUGUUUUAGCACCAAGAAAACCUCAAAAAUCACCAAAAAGAAAUCAACGAAACAGUGUUGUUCUAAAGUUUUUCAGCCCUUUGUCUUUUUCUCUUAGAACUUUAGCUCUUGAAGUCUAUGAAAUAGUAAAAUUUAUGCAGCUUCUGUAUUUUUCUGGAUUUCCAGCUCUCAAA